AUAGCGUAUAUUAAAGUUGUUGCAGUUAAAAAGCUCGUAGUUGGAUUUUGGAUUGCGUCUAACGGUCGGCCGUGAGGUUCGUACUGUUGGGUGCUUUCUUCUUCUCGAAGACCACGUGUGCUCUUAACUGAGUGUGCGUGGGGUUCGGGACUUUUACUGUGAGAAAAUUAGAGUGUUCAAAGCAGGCAUUUGCUUGAAUAUUGCAGCAUGGAAUAAUGGAAUAGGAUCACAAUCUUAUUUUGUUGGUUUCUAGGAUUGAGAUAAUGAUUAAUAGGGAUAGUUGGGGGCAUUAAUAUUUAAUUGUCAGAGGUGAAAUUCUUGGAUUUAUGAAAGAUUAACUUCUG
Molecule: ribosomal RNA, 344 nt
Filed under: uncultured eukaryote
Lineage: Eukaryota
Description: SSU rRNA
Rfam family: Eukaryotic small subunit ribosomal RNA
Source: RNAcentral